Non-coding RNA from Xylariaceae sp. FL0594, 136 nucleotides. The record is from the annotation of a GenBank genome assembly. Lineage: Eukaryota; Fungi; Ascomycota; Sordariomycetes; Xylariales; Xylariaceae.
UCUUGAUUGGUCUAGUGGUUAGGAUACCUGCUUGUCAUUUAGAACACUCAUCUAGUGUAGUGUAGUGUCUCACCAACGGUGGAUCAGCUAAGUAACAAUUUCGCAGGUGGCCGGGGUUCGAUUCCCCGAUCGAGAG